AUUGAACGCUGGCGGUAUGCUUAACACAUGCAAGUCGAACGGUAACAGGCCUUCGGGCGCUGACGAGUGGCGGACGGGUGAGUAACGCGUAGGAAUCUGCCUCAUAGUGGGGGACAACGUGGGGAAACUCACGCUAAUACCGCAUACGCCCUACGGGGAAAGCGGGGGAGUCUUCGGACCUCGCGCUAUGAGAUGAGCCUGCGUUAGAUUAGCUAGUUGGUAGGGUAAAGGCCUACCAAGGCGACGAUCUAUAGCUGGUCUGAGAGGACGAUCAGCCACACUGGGACUGAGACACGGCCCAGACUCCUACGGGAGGCAGCAGUGGGGAAUAUUGGACAAUGGGCGCAAGCCUGAUCCAGCAAUACCGCGUGUGUGAAGAAGGCCUUAGGGUUGUAAAGCACUUUCAAUUGGGAGGAAAACCUGCCGGUCAAUACCCGGCAGCUUGACAUUACCUUUAGAAGAAGCACCGGCUAACUCCGUGCCAGCAGCCGCGGUAAU
This 498-nucleotide ribosomal RNA is filed under the name uncultured bacterium. Its description in RNAcentral is "bacterial SSU rRNA". It matches the Rfam family "Bacterial small subunit ribosomal RNA", at positions 30 to 524 of the family's 1533-position model. The record is from RNAcentral.